This 482-nucleotide long non-coding RNA is filed under the name Homo sapiens (human). RNAcentral describes it as "non-protein coding lnc-HMGN1-4:3". The record is from RNAcentral. Lineage: Eukaryota; Metazoa; Chordata; Mammalia; Primates; Hominidae.
CUCCCCACAGUCCCGUUUUCCUGUCCAUGCUUGGAUGGAUCCAGCCGAGCCGUCAGCCGCAGCUGCGCGCUGCUCCCCCGACUCGCACCCCCUCGGCGAAGCGCUGCAUUUUAUGUAAUUUUCUGCCGGGCUGCUGGCUUGUGGGGGAUGUGGCUGGGUCUCGGCAGCCUUCAGCGCCGCAGACGCUCCGGCAACGCCAGCAUACGAGGCCCCCGCCCCAGGAGCGCGGGUCCGGGCGGCGUUCCCCUCUGCGGGAGGCGCGGCGAGCCAAUCCUCACUUUAAAAGCUUUCCUGUCCUCGAAGCGAGGGGUCUUCCGUGCGGGGCAAGACGCACUGGCCCCAGACGACCGGUCCGUGAAAUGACCCUUCCGAGCGACCCGGAGCGGGCGACCUUGCCCAACCCGCGACUCGGGGCCCCUGCGGUCCCGCGUAGAGGACCCAGGUCCCACGGGGGGCGGCGGUGAAUCGCCCCCUCUUGUGGC